AUUGAACGCUGGCGGCAGGCCUAACACAUGCAAGUCGAGCGGAUGAAGGGAGCUUGCUCCUGGAUUCAGCGGCGGACGGGUGAGGAAUGCCUAGGAAUCUGCCUGGUAGUGGGGGAUAACGUCCGGAAACGGGCGCUAAUACCGCAUACGUCCUGAGGGAGAAAGUGGGGGAUCUUCGGACCUCACGCUAUCAGAUGAGCCUAGGUCGGAUUAGCUAGUUGGUGGGGUAAAGGCCUACCAAGGCGACGAUCCGUAACUGGUCUGAGAGGAUGAUCAGUCACACUGGAACUGAGACGCGGUCCAGACUCCUACGGGAGGCAGCAGUGGGGAAUAUUGGUCAAUGGGCGAAAGCCUGAUCCAGCCAUGCCGCGUGUGUGAAGAAGGUCUUCGGAUUGUAAAGCACUUUAAGUUGGGGGGAAGGGCAGUAAGUUAAUACCUUGCUGUUUUGACGUUACCAACAGAAUAAGCACCGGCUAACUUCGUG
RNAcentral lists this ribosomal RNA (484 nucleotides) under uncultured bacterium. Its description in RNAcentral is "partial 16S ribosomal RNA". It matches the Rfam family "Bacterial small subunit ribosomal RNA", at positions 30 to 507 of the family's 1533-position model. The record is from RNAcentral.